Molecule: ribosomal RNA, 179 nt
Filed under: Cortinarius anisatus
Lineage: Eukaryota; Fungi; Basidiomycota; Agaricomycetes; Agaricales; Cortinariaceae
Description: partial 28S ribosomal RNA
Rfam family: Eukaryotic large subunit ribosomal RNA
Source: RNAcentral
AUGUGACCUCAAAUCAGGUAGGACUACCCGCUGAACUUAAGCAUAUCAAUAAGCGGAGGAAAAGAAACUAACAAGGAUUCCCCUAGUAACUGCGAGUGAAGCGGGAAAAGCUCAAAUUUAAAAUCUGGCAGUCUUUUGGCUGUCCGAGUUGUAAUCUAGAGAAGUGCUAUCCGCGCUGG